UAAACUCCUCAGAGUAACAUCUUCACCAUCCGGCGAAACAAAAACUUCAAGCGGUAACCACGGCUUGAAUCGCGCUGAUCGCGUAAUACUUCCAUCUCUGUCCGACAGAAAAAGCCUCCUCCAAUAUCGCACUAUUGGGGAAUACCUUUGAUUAAAACCACGAUGCUAAACUCCUCGGAGUAACACCUUCACCUUUGGGCAAAACCACUUCUCAAACAAUAACCACGACCUGAGAGUAGCUU
This 242-nucleotide long non-coding RNA is filed under the name Lathyrus oleraceus (garden pea). Its description in RNAcentral is "Pisum sativum (pea) long non-coding RNA (PSAT_LNC034652)". Lineage: Eukaryota; Viridiplantae; Streptophyta; Magnoliopsida; Fabales; Fabaceae. The record is from RNAcentral.